GGGGAGGAGGAGGAAGGCACCUUGGGGAGGAAAGUGCCGCUGACGAGGGAGCCCUCCGGCACAGAGGAGUUUGGGAACUGGGAGCAAACUGGGAACGCGGGGCAGGAAAAUAAACCGGAAGCCGUUUGGGGAAAAGGUGGAUAGGGCACUGGUCCAGCGGUCCUGCGGGGGAAGGAACGGCCGGGUUGUCCUGGCAGCAUCAAGGAAAGAAACACAAGCCCGGGAGCUCUGCGGACGUGGAGGUACUGGACUUGCUACCACUGUAUCCCAAGUGCUGGAACAGGGUAAGCCCUCCAAACAUUGGCUGAAUACCUGAAAUUGUGUACAAGUACGGAGAUGAUUCCUCUUUCUCUCUCUCCGCCUCAUCGGCUGUCCUCCCAGCUACCCCUUGGGAGGCAGCUGCUUAUAUUGGGGAGUCCUGGCUUAGUAGCCAAGAAAUGGGGAGGUCUGUCUCCAUCCCCCACUUGUUAACUUGCAUGUGGCUUCAGGCUUCAGGAUGAACAGUCUCUUCUACAAUGUUCUUUUUUGCUGAGAGGUUUCAACUGAUCUGUGCUACUGACCUCACAGGUUGUUGGAAGGAUAAAACAAUGUUGUAGAUGUAUCAUCGGAACUCCUACAGCUUAAAACAAUUGUUCAUACUUGAGUGAUUCUUAACCACUUUGCUUUUGCUUUGGCCAAAAGGGGUGGAGACUCAUCCCGGGGGUAGGACACUUGCAUCAGGUCCAGUCCUUAGGCUCACACUCCAGCUCGCCUGGUCGUUCUGGCCACACGCCUCCUCACAUGCCCACAUCUAGGUUCUGAGACUGGCCCCUCCCUUCACAGGCACCCACAAUCCUCUUUCCCAUCUUCCAGGCAGAUCUCCGCACUCCGGGUCCCUGUCUGCUCCCCCGGCGAGGCCUUGCCAAGUCAAUCGAGAGUGCAUUACCCCCUCCUCUCUCUCAGCUUCCACCCCACCCAUGGUCCACUAGAUCUCACCCACUGUUUGUUUCUCCAUUGCUUGGUUUUCCCUGCCUGCUCUUCAGCAGUUGGCUUACUGCCAGUUCCUGCAUCCUUGACCUUCUCUGUGUGUUUGGCCUCCCCCAGAGAACUGGGAGUAUCAGGCCCUGGAGGGUGCAAUCUUGUCAGAUGCUGGUGAGCUUGACUGCCAAGGUGAGCGGUUAGGCCUCAGCAGAGGACAAGCAGGCUUGCCCCCGAGCCGGCUCCUGUAUUAGUCUCCAGCGUGACCUUCUGUCCUUCCUCCAUACUUCAUCAUGCAGCCCCUGAAGAAGAGGCAGCAGAUGUGACCCUGCUAGGCUGGCCCCUGCUUUUAUGGCCAGGGGCUGGGGGAAGGGGCAGUGUGUGAUGCCGGCCUCUUCCAGCCCUCUGUGGUCCCCAUUUGAACUCUUACCCCCAAGGCUUCCCUCAGCCUGGCAUUGCCUCUCCCAAGUGCUCCCAGGUGUUCCAGAAAGAACAAAUAGAUUUGGGGACCCAAUGCAACCUUUUAAUUCCAAGCAGAGUCCCCCUCCCAC
Long non-coding RNA from Canis lupus familiaris (dog), 1508 nucleotides. RefSeq lists it as uncharacterized. Lineage: Eukaryota; Metazoa; Chordata; Mammalia; Carnivora; Canidae. The transcript is spliced from 3 exons. The record is from RefSeq and is a predicted model, not a curated record.